GCUAGGUGCUGACGAGUGGCGGACGGGUGAGUAACGCGUAGGAAUCUGCCCUAUAGUGGGGGAUAACACUGGGAAACUAGUGCUAAUACCGCAUAAUCCCUGAGGGGGAAAGGCUUCGGCCGCUAUUGGAUGAGCCUGCGUCAGAUUAGCUAGUUGGUGGGGUAAAGGCCUACCAAGGCGAAGAUCUGUAGCUGUUCUGAGAGGAAGAUCAGCCACACUGGGACUGAGACACGGCCCAGACUCCUACGGGAGGCAGCAGUGGGGAAUAUUGGACAAUGGGCGCAAGCCUGAUCCAGCAAUGCCGCGUGUGUGAAGAAGGCCUUAGGGUUGUAAAGCACUUUCAGGGGGGAGGAAAGGCACGUAAGUGUUUUGACGUUACCCUCAGAAGAAGCACCGGCUAACUCUGUGCCAGCAGCCGCGGUAAUACAGAGGGUGCGAGCGUUAAUCGGAAUGACUGGGCGUAAAGCGCGCGUAGGCGGUUAUAUAAGUUGGGUGUGAAAUCCCUGGGCUCAACCUAGGAAUUGCAUUCAAAACUGUAUGACUUGAGUGAAGUAGAGGUGAGUGGAAUUUCCGGAGUAGCGGUGAAAUGCGUAGAUAUCGGAAGGAACACCAGUGG
RNAcentral lists this ribosomal RNA (616 nucleotides) under uncultured bacterium. Its description in RNAcentral is "bacterial SSU rRNA". It matches the Rfam family "Bacterial small subunit ribosomal RNA", at positions 79 to 715 of the family's 1533-position model. The record is from RNAcentral.